UCCAGGGUAGCCUAGUGGACAUGGCAUCUGCCUGGUAAGCAGAAGGUUGUGGGUUCGAUUCCCGCCCCUGGAC
This is a non-coding RNA of Cordylochernes scorpioides, 73 nucleotides long. The record is from the annotation of a GenBank genome assembly. NCBI's taxonomy places the organism in Eukaryota, Metazoa, Arthropoda, Arachnida, Pseudoscorpiones, Chernetidae.